GCAAACAAGGGUGUCAGCACAGGAGUUAAGAAAUCCCUGCCCACGAAACCUGGGAUGUGUUGCAUGAGCACGGGAACAUUCCUCGUUUCUUGUUUCCUCCCCCUGCCUUGACCUUGGGCCCAUUUGCGAUCCCGUUGCGCAAACGGGUCUCGCAACCCAGCUCCUGUUUCCAGCAGAAAAUCCUCGCCUCUGGAGGGGCAGGCAGAGGCCAGCCCUGCCCUGGCACCAGCCUGGGCUCCAGGGAGGAGGGGAUGGCACAAUUCCUGCGUGCUGCUGGGCAGUGCUGCUCACGUGGAGCUGGAGCUGCUCCGCACCGAGAUGAUUUCCUGAGCCGGAGCCUCCCCUGGGAGCUGGAGUGGAUCCAGGAGAGGGUUAUUCCGGAUAAUUGCCCUGCUGGAGCUGCUCGUGUCCAGCUCUCUAGAAACACAUCCCGGCGUCUCCAUGGAAGGCUCCAGAAAGAGAAAGCCUGGAAGUUGCCACAUUGAAGAACCAUGAGUUGAGUAUUUCUGGUGCUGCCUUUCACUGACCUGAGGAUGGAACAAAGAUUAGGAAUUACCAUUUUCAUCAAAAUUCGUGUUCAUUUUGAAAAUAAAUCAGAUUUUUCACGGUGUGUCUGCA
This 618-nucleotide long non-coding RNA is filed under the name Junco hyemalis (dark-eyed junco). RNAcentral describes it as "lncRNA (ENSJHYG00000003691.1)". Lineage: Eukaryota; Metazoa; Chordata; Aves; Passeriformes; Passerellidae. The record is from RNAcentral.